Astatotilapia calliptera (eastern happy) is the source of this 1274-nucleotide long non-coding RNA. The record is from Ensembl. Lineage: Eukaryota; Metazoa; Chordata; Actinopteri; Cichliformes; Cichlidae.
AGAGUCUACACCCGCGUGGCUUGGCUAAUCAGCUUCUUUUCUUCUCCGUCAUUCCCUCUGUCUGGUUGAGUGACACUAAUCCUGUGCACCAGCUCAGAGCAGCAGUAAGGAGGGCUGGAUUUAAAGGGAGCACAGGAUUAAGGCUUUAUAAACUCUUAUUUAAUUAUAAUAAACAAUGACAAAAUUGUGCAUUUAAUUUAGGCUGUUAUGAACAAGCCAGUACUAGCACUUUGAUAAAAAAAAUACUCAACAAGAAAAUGGAAGAAGCCGCUUUGAUCCAUUUUUUUCCAGCUUUGCAUGACCUUUUAUCUUGAAAUUCUUUAUUUUAUUUUAUUUUUUUAUAUAUGUUUAACUAUAGUGCUGCUAUACUACUUUUGAUCAAGGUCUAUUGUGCACUAUCAUGGCUCUAUUAUCUUUAUUUAUUUAUAGUAUACAGUAGAGUACACAAGAAGGAGAGCAGGUGGGAAAUGGGCUCUUCCAAGGACAGACUCAAACCCAGACCUUUGCUGUGGCCUUUGGAUAAAUGGGUCGCCUUCUUUCUUUUUUUUUGUGUGUGUAGUUUCUUGCACACCUUUUCUGUUAUGUAUCUUUUUUUUUUUUAAUGGGUUGCCUUCUUAACCCAGCACCCCACUUUCCCUUUCUGAACCAAACAGGAAAAUAAUGUGGACAUCGACAUUGGUUGUGUUGUGCUAGAAUCUACUGUAUUAAAUAUUACUUUGAAGCCGCUAAUGGACCAGGAGAAGACAGCCCAAUUAUGCUAUUAGCGUAGACCGUAUGAUAGAUGGACAUGAUUGGUUUGUAAAGCCCUUUUUUUAAAGCCUCAAGUUGGGCAUUUCUGCUGUUGCCAUGUUUGUUACAAAAAACCCACAUGAAACGAAGAAGGGUGAGUCUGACAGGCAACUUAUUAACCAAUCACUGUGUUUUCAAACCACAGAUAAGCCUAUAUUUGGAAACAUGGUAAGACCAAGACUAACAAAGCGGUCGUAAGUUUUUAUCCACAACAGCCAAAAUGACUGUAUGACAUCAUAAAUUCAGCAGAGGUCAAGACUGAAACCUGUUUUUUCGUAGAUUUCUAUAUACUGGGAAGACUUUUUGCAGACUGCAACUAUCGCCAUCUGGUGGCCUGCAGAUAGAGGUUUUUAGGCAUUUCUGUAUUGGCUUAAUUUUGUCUUGGAGGCUACCUCCAUGUUUUGAGUGAAUCUUCCGAUCAAUACUUUGAUGCGAUAAAAGGAUAUAAACAAAUCAAGGCAGUAAGAUUUUGAAAAUACUGGCAG